UUUUCUUUUAGAAUUAUAAAAAAUGAGAUACAUAUUUUUCAUUAUAAAUUUAAAAAAUUAUACGGCAAAAAGCUCUAUUAUUUAUAAGUAUAAAAAAAUACAUAAUAAAUAUUUAUCACUGACAAAUAAAAAAAUAUUGGACAAGUAUUUAUCACAAAUAUAUAUAAACACAUGACUAACAGUGGUCAAACGUAAAUAUUAGAAAAACAUACGGAAACAUAUGUUAAUUGAUAAUUGAA
Molecule: long non-coding RNA, 239 nt
Filed under: Lathyrus oleraceus (garden pea)
Lineage: Eukaryota; Viridiplantae; Streptophyta; Magnoliopsida; Fabales; Fabaceae
Description: Pisum sativum (pea) long non-coding RNA (PSAT_LNC003391)
Source: RNAcentral